CAGAAUAUAGUUAAAUUAAUAACAUAAAUUUUGGAUAUUUAAAUUUUAUUUUAUAUUCUGA
This 61-nucleotide transfer RNA is filed under the name Hirudo medicinalis (medicinal leech). Its description in RNAcentral is "tRNA-Pro". RNAcentral also lists the same sequence under 2 other names. Lineage: Eukaryota; Metazoa; Annelida; Clitellata; Hirudinida; Hirudinidae. The record is from RNAcentral.